Molecule: transfer RNA, 63 nt
Filed under: Bottapotamon lingchuanense
Lineage: Eukaryota; Metazoa; Arthropoda; Malacostraca; Decapoda; Potamidae
Description: tRNA-Pro
Source: RNAcentral
CAGAGGGUAGUUUAUUGAAAAUAUUAAUUUUGGGGAUUAAAGAUGAAAUUUCUUCCCCUCUGA